AGCGAACGCUGGCGGCAGGCCUAACACAUGCAAGUCGAACGAACCUUUCGGGGUUAGUGGCGGACGGGUGAGUAACACGUGGGAACGUGCCUUUAGGUUCGGAAUAACUCAGGGAAACUUGUGCUAAUACCGAAUGUGCCCUUCGGGGGAAAGAUUUAUCGCCUUUAGAGCGGCCCGCGUCUGAUUAGCUAGUUGGUUGAGGUAAUGGCUCACCAAGGCGACGAUCAGUAGCUGGUCUGAGAGGAUGAUCAGCCACAUUGGGACUGAGACACGGCCCAAACUCCUACGGGAGGCAGCAGUGGGGAAUCUUGCGCAUGGGGCGAAAGCCUGACGCAGCCAUGCCGCGUGAAUGAUGAAGGUCUUAGGAUUGUAAAAUUCUUUCACCGGGGACGAUAAUGACGGUACCCGGAGAAGAAGCCCCGGCUAACUUCGUG
This 434-nucleotide ribosomal RNA is filed under the name uncultured bacterium. Its description in RNAcentral is "partial 16S ribosomal RNA". It matches the Rfam family "Bacterial small subunit ribosomal RNA", at positions 29 to 507 of the family's 1533-position model. The record is from RNAcentral.